Small nuclear RNA from Hyaena hyaena (striped hyena), 107 nucleotides. The record is from RefSeq and is a predicted model, not a curated record. Lineage: Eukaryota; Metazoa; Chordata; Mammalia; Carnivora; Hyaenidae.
AUGCUUGUUUCAAUAGCACACAUACGAAAACUGGAACAAUACAGAGAAGAUUUGCAUGACUUGUGUGCAAGAAUGACAAGUAAAUCUUUGAAGCAUGCCAUAUUUGG